RNAcentral lists this ribosomal RNA (392 nucleotides) under Smicronyx fulvus (red sunflower seed weevil). Its description in RNAcentral is "partial 16S ribosomal RNA". Lineage: Eukaryota; Metazoa; Arthropoda; Insecta; Coleoptera; Curculionidae. The record is from RNAcentral.
AAAUUUUAAAUGGCCGCAGUAUUUUGACUGUGCAAAGGUAGCAUAAUCAUUAGUUUCUUAAUUAGAAGCUUGUAUGAAAGGUUGAAUGAGAAAGUUACUGUCUCUAUUUAAAUUUAUUAGAAUUUUAUAUUUAAGUAAAAAAGCUUAAAUACAUAUAGAAGACGAGAAGACCCUAUAGAGUUUUAUAUUAUUAUUAUUUAUAUCUUUUAGUAUUAUAAUUAUAUAAUUAGUUAUAUAUUUGAUUGGGGUGAUUAAAAAAUUUAUUGAACUUUUUUUGUAUUAUUUCAUUAAUUUAUGAAUUAUUGAUCCUUAAUUUAAGAUUAAAAGAAUAAAUUACCUUAGGGAUAACAGCGUAAUUUUUUUUAAGAGUUCUAAUCAAAAAAAAAGUUUGC